Molecule: long non-coding RNA, 812 nt
Organism: Homo sapiens (human)
Lineage: Eukaryota; Metazoa; Chordata; Mammalia; Primates; Hominidae
Source: Ensembl
AAGCUCAGCCCAUUGCCCUGUGAUCCCCUGCAGCACCUCAGGACUGCAGUGUCCUCACGGAUGAGAAGACUCACAUAAGAAUCAAUCUCUCACCCCUGGACUUCCCAGCCUCCAGAACUUUUUUUGACUGUGGAGGUGGAACUUUUGGAUACAAAAUGCUGAUUAUAUGCUGAGAAAGGAUAAAGAAGGAAAUGUCUUAAAUAGAAGAAAACAUAAGAAGAUAGAAACUGCAGAGGACAGAGGACCACUGUAUGCCCUGAAGACAUCACUAAAGUGGCACAUGAAGCACACUUUUGAACACUCAGGAAGAAAUUCCUGACAAUCAAUGGACACAGAAAAACAUUAUUAAGUAAAACUUGUGGUGACUCUUUUGCUAGGCAGUGGGGCAUAGUGGUUAAAAAUUUGGGACUUGGGAGCCAUUUCCAAAAAGAAAAAAAAAUAAUGAACAAAAAAGUUCGUGGAGCUGCUUCCUGCGGAAAUCAUGAAAAAUGCCAUUGAAAGUCAAAGCCCUGCACUAAUAACUAAUUAUUUGUCCUUGAACAAGUUAUUUGUGAAUACAGAACCCAUAGAUACGAAAGGCCAACUGUACUUAUUGAAAACAAUCCAGGUAUAACUAGACCCGCACAGUUCAAACCCAUGUUGUUCAAGGGUCAACUGUAUAAUUCACUUAAUCCCUAGAGCAACUGUAAGAGCUAGAUACGAUUGUUAUCCUUGUUUUGUAGGAGAGGAAAGUGAGGCACAGAAGUGUGGUUCAAGGACCAGAAGCAUCUGCAUCACUUGGGAGUUUGUGAGAAAUGCAUAAUCUUAAGGCC